CUUAUUUAUUCAAUUAUUAUUCCAUUUCCUAAAACAUUUUGAGUUCAUUUAAAAUUGAAAUGUAUCUGAUUCUCUAAAACACUUCAAACACCUGACAUGGCAAAUUUACAAGCCUGACAAGUGAGAUCUUUCUAAGCCUUUAAGCCAUUACUGAAAAUUAAUAAUUCUAGUGAAUGAAGUUUUCUUAAGAUUCAUGGUGGGGAGCCAGGCAUGGUGGCUCAUGCCUGUAAUCCCAGCACUCGGGAGGCUGAGGCAGGAGGAUCGCUGUGAGUUUGAGACCAUCCUGGGCUACAUAGUGAGUUCCAGAUCAGUCUCAACUACAUAGUGAGACCCUGCCUCAAAAAACAAACAAACAAACAAAAAAACAAAAAACAAAGAUUCAUGGUGGGUAACCGCCAACUGUCUAGUGUUAAUUCUUCCUCUUUUUCUUUUAGCUAAACCCCCUUAGUUUUAAUUGGACUUAUAGCUAUCCAACUAUGAACUACAUUCCCCAGGCUCCUUUGCAGCUAGCUAUGGUCAAGUGACUAAUUUUGGGUUCAUGGAAUAUAAGUAAACAUGGGCACUACAAGCAGGUUGUGUCUUUUUUUGUUUUGUUUUGUUUUUUUGGGUACCGGGGAUUGAACUCGGGUCCUUGUGCUUGCAAGGCAGGUCACUGAACCGCUGAGCUAAAUCCCCAGCCCUUUAGGUUGUGUCUUAAAGAUACUUGUCAUAGACUCUUGCUUUUCUCUCUUCUAUCCCACUUUUGGAUAUGGUAAUGAGCCAACAUUGACCAUGCUGAUGGAGAUGACACAGGCCAUGAAGAAUCAAAGGAAGUAAGAAACCGAAGACUUCAAAUAGCAAAGCGUCUUGGUGUCCAGCUAUAGAGACCACUCACUACUUGAAUGUUGGUUAAAAGUGAAGGAAACUUCAGGGAUCUUUUAGUCAUAGGGCUGGAAAGUCCAAGAUCAGAGGGCCAACACCCAGUGGGGGUCUUCUUGCUGAGUCAUCAAUGCAAAAGGCAGAAGGACAACAAGGGGACGAAAGGUGGGGAGAAGUAUGGACAGGUGGAGAGAAGUGUGCCGUCACCUACAACUGUUGCAAUUGUACAAGGCAUCCGAUUUCAAAGAUUUAAAAAGCAUGGAAGAGGCCAAUCUGUCCUUUGUGUAUGGGCGUGUGUGUGUGUGUGUGUGUGUGUGUUGCUUGGAACUGAACACAGGGCCUUACAGACACAGAGCCACUGUACCACUGAGCCUGAGCCUGUUCUCUUUGAAAGAAUCCACUCCCUCAGUAACAGCAUUAAUCUACUCAUAAAGGUGGAAUUUACAUGUCUUAAUCUCUUCGCAUUGCCCAACACUAUUGCACCAAGGAUCAAAUUUCCCACACAUGACCCUUUGAGGACACAUUCAAACCAUGUCAGAGUACUCUUUCAAUGCAUCAAAGAUGCAAGAUGCAAAAUUGCUUUAUCAUCACUAAGCUAGAAGAAACACCAUCACCUUCCAUUGUUACAGUUUUACAAUGCAUCCAAUCUCCAAGAUUUAAAGAAUGUAGAGC
This 1530-nucleotide long non-coding RNA is filed under the name Fukomys damarensis (Damara mole-rat). Its description in RNAcentral is "lncRNA (ENSFDAG00000031077.1)". Lineage: Eukaryota; Metazoa; Chordata; Mammalia; Rodentia; Bathyergidae. The record is from RNAcentral.